UGGGGAAUAUUGCACAAUGGGCGAAAGCCUGAUGCAGCGACGCCGCGUGAGGGAUGACGGCCUUCGGGUUGUAAACCUCUUUCAGUAAGGACGAAGCGCAAGUGACGGUACCUGCAGAAGAAGCACCGGCUAACUACGUGCCAGCAGCCGCGGUAAUACGUAGGGUGCGAGCGUUGUCCGGAAUUACUGGGCGUAAAGAGCUCGUAGGCGGUUUGUCACGUCGUCUGUGAAAUCCUAGGGCUUAACCCUGGACGUGCAGGCGAUACGGGCUGACUUGAGUACUACAGGGGAGACUGGAAUUUCUGGUGUAGCGGUGGAAUGCACAGAUAUCAGGAAGAACACCGAUGGCGAAGGCAGGUCUCUGGGUAGUAACUGACGCUGAGGAGCGAAAGCAUGGGUAGCGAACAGG
This 409-nucleotide ribosomal RNA is filed under the name bacterium. RNAcentral's name for it is "partial 16S ribosomal RNA". It matches the Rfam family "Bacterial small subunit ribosomal RNA", at positions 355 to 776 of the family's 1533-position model. The record is from RNAcentral.